This 745-nucleotide ribosomal RNA is filed under the name uncultured bacterium. Its description in RNAcentral is "bacterial SSU rRNA". It matches the Rfam family "Bacterial small subunit ribosomal RNA", at positions 33 to 773 of the family's 1533-position model. The record is from RNAcentral.
ACGCUGGCGGCAGGCCUAACACAUGCAAGUCGAGCGGUAGAGAGAAGCUUGCUUCUCUUGAGAGCGGCGGACGGGUGAGUAAUGCCUAGGAAUCUGCCUGGUAGUGGGGGAUAACGUUCGGAAACGGACGCUAAUACCGCAUACGUCCUACGGGAGAAGGCAGGGGACCUUCGGGCCUUGCGCUAUCAGAUGAGCCUAGGUCGGAUUAGCUAGCUGGUGGGGUAAUGGCUCACCAAGGCGACGAUCCGUAACUGGUCUGAGAGGAUGAUCAGUCACACUGGAACUGAGACACGGUCCAGACUCCUACGGGAGGCAGCAGUGGGGAAUAUUGGACAAUGGGCGAAAGCCUGAUCCAGCCAUGCCGCGUGUGUGAAGAAGGUCUUCGGAUUGUAAAGCACUUUAAGUUGGGAGGAAGGGUUGUAGAUUAAUACUCUGCAAUUUUGACGUUACCGACAGAAUAAGCACCGGCUAACUCUGUGCCAGCAGCCGCGGUAAUACAGAGGGUGCAAGCGUUAAUCGGAAUUACUGGGCGUAAAGCGCGCGUAGGUGGUUAGUUAAGUUGGAUGUGAAAUCCCCGGGCUCAACCUGGGAACUGCAUUCAAAACUGACUGACUAGAGUAUGGUAGAGGGUGGUGGAAUUUCCUGUGUAGCGGUGAAAUGCGUAGAUAUAGGAAGGAACACCAGUGGCGAAGGCGACCACCUGGACUGAUACUGACACUGAGGUGCGAGAGCGUGGGGAGCAAAC